GGAGAGGUGGCCGAGCGGUCGAAGGCGCUCGCCUGCUAAGCGAGUAGGGGACGUUGAGUCUCCUCGAGGGUUCAAAUCCCUCCCUCUCCG
This 90-nucleotide transfer RNA is filed under the name Acidimicrobiia bacterium. RNAcentral's name for it is "tRNA-Ser". It matches the Rfam family "tRNA". Rfam says of the family: Transfer RNA (tRNA) molecules are approximately 80 nucleotides in length. Lineage: Bacteria; Bacillati; Actinomycetota; Acidimicrobiia. The record is from RNAcentral.